Molecule: ribosomal RNA, 63 nt
Filed under: Azoarcus sp.
Lineage: Bacteria; Pseudomonadati; Pseudomonadota; Betaproteobacteria; Rhodocyclales; Zoogloeaceae
Description: partial 16S ribosomal RNA
Rfam family: Bacterial small subunit ribosomal RNA
Source: RNAcentral
GAACUUAAGAGUUUGAUCCUGGCUCAGAUUGAACGCUGGCGGCAUGCUUUACACAUGCAAGUC